RNAcentral lists this transfer RNA (74 nucleotides) under Promethearchaeota archaeon. RNAcentral's name for it is "Candidatus Lokiarchaeota archaeon (microbial mat metagenome) tRNA-Thr". It matches the Rfam family "tRNA". From Rfam's summary of the family: Transfer RNA (tRNA) molecules are approximately 80 nucleotides in length. Their secondary structure includes four short double-helical elements and three loops (D, anti-codon, and T loops). Lineage: Archaea; Promethearchaeati; Promethearchaeota. The record is from RNAcentral.
GCCUCGGUGGCUUAGCUGGUUAGAGCGACGGCUUCGUAAGCCGUAAAUCGGGGGUUAAAAUCCCCCUCGAGGCU